CCUACGGGAGGCAGCAGUGAGGAAUAUUGGUCAAUGGGCGAGAGCCUGAACCAGCCAAGUCGCGUGAAGGAGUACUGCCCUCUGGUUUGUAAACCUCUUUUGUCGGGGAGCAAAAGCCGGACGUGUCCUGCUGUGAGCUUACCCUAAGAAAAAGCAUCGGCUACCUCCGUGCCAGCAGCCGCGGUAAUACUGCGGAUUCGAGCGUUAUCCGGAUUUAUUGGGUUUAAAGGGUGCGCAGGCGGAUUUUUAAGUCAGCGGUAAAAUCGUGGGGCUCAACCCCAUCCAGCCGUUGAAACUGGGGUGCUAGAGGGUGCGAGAGGUAUGCGGAAUGCGUGGUGUAGCGGUGAAAUGCAUAGAUAGCACGCAGAACCCCGAUUGCGAAGGCAGCAUACUGGUGCACAACUGACGCUCAGGCACGAAAGCGUGGGUAUCGAACAGGAUUAGAUACCCCAGUAGUC
RNAcentral lists this ribosomal RNA (458 nucleotides) under uncultured bacterium. Its description in RNAcentral is "partial 16S ribosomal RNA". It matches the Rfam family "Bacterial small subunit ribosomal RNA", at positions 338 to 795 of the family's 1533-position model. The record is from RNAcentral.